This 424-nucleotide ribosomal RNA is filed under the name Mytilus sp. Its description in RNAcentral is "SSU rRNA". Lineage: Eukaryota; Metazoa; Mollusca; Bivalvia; Mytilida; Mytilidae. The record is from RNAcentral.
AUAMGCUCAUAGCGUAUAUUAAGUUGUUGCAGUUAAAAGCUCGUAGUUGGAUCUCGGGUCCAGGCUGGCGGUCCGACGCCUGUCGGUUACUGCCUGCUCCUGACCUACCUCCCGGUUUUUUCGCCCUUGGUGCUCUUGACUGAGUGUCUCGGGUGGCCGGAACGUUUACUUUGAAAAAAUUARAGUGUUCAAAGCAGGCAAUAUCGCCUGAAUAAUGGUGCAUGGAAUAAUGGAAUAGGACCUCGGUUCUAUUUUGCUGGUUUUCGGAGCUCGAGGUAAUGAUUAAAAGGGACUGACGGGGGCAUUCGUAUUACGGKGUUARAGGUGAAAUUCUUGGAUCGCCGUAARACRAACUACUGCGAAAGCAUUUGCCAAGCAUGUUUUCAUUAGUCAAGAACGAAAGUCAAAGGUUCGAAGACGAUCA